UCUAGGAAUUUUCCAAUAAUUAUUAUGAUUAAUCCUGAAGUCAGCAGACAAUUAAAAAUUUUUGAAUUUUUUUUCUAGAGACAAAAAAAAAAAACUAAAAAUAUGCUCAUGUGGAAAAUUUAAAAAACUACAGGUGAAAAAAGAAUCUAAAAAUUUUUUAUGCUAAACAUAUUUAUAUUAUUGAAAAAAAACUUGACGUAGACAAAUUCUCAGCGAUAACAUGUGCGUCAUAUAUAUUAAUAUAUAUGAUAUGAUAAAGUAUAACAGCAAGGAUAUUUUUUUACACCCACAUAUUUUGAAUAAUUUAUUAUUUUUUAAAAAUCAUAAACAAGGAAGACUAUUUUUUUCAUGGGAAAGGCAGACGUCUGAUGAGUAAUUUUAUUUACGUCACUACAGGGUUCAAUCACAAUUAAAUAAAAACGAUAAUGAGUAACGAGAUUAAUUGCAGUGUGAAUGUUUUUCAAGGUUUUUUUUUAACAUUGUUGGAAUUUAAAAUGAUUAUAAUAUCACAUUGAUACUUUUACUUGAUACUAGUUUACUCUGCAUAUAUACAUAUAUUUAAAUUUAAAUAAAUGAAAUUAAAAUUUUUAUCUUGUAGUAAUUUAGGUCAUUAAUAAUUAAUGGAUUACAAAAUAUGUUAUUAAUUAAAUUAUUGAUUUUAAUUAUAUAUCAAUAUUACUAAAAAUUUUUUAAUCAUGCAACACUACAGCUGAUUGAUAUAAAUAUUGAUUUAUUGAUCAAUGUAUAGAAAUAUUAUUAUAAUUAUUAUUAUUUGAAUAAUAAACAAGUCUGUUUUAUUGGCGGGGA
Microplitis demolitor is the source of this 807-nucleotide long non-coding RNA. RefSeq lists it as uncharacterized. The record is from RefSeq and is a predicted model, not a curated record. The transcript has 3 exons. Lineage: Eukaryota; Metazoa; Arthropoda; Insecta; Hymenoptera; Braconidae.